RNAcentral lists this ribosomal RNA (1975 nucleotides) under human metagenome. Its description in RNAcentral is "bacterial LSU rRNA". It matches the Rfam family "Bacterial large subunit ribosomal RNA", at positions 1 to 2011 of the family's 2925-position model. The record is from RNAcentral.
GUUAAACAUAAAGAGCGUAGGGUGGAUGCCUAGGCACUGACAGCCGAAGAAAGACGUGACAAGCUGCGAAAAGCUGCGGGGAGAAGCACAUAUUCAGUGAUCCGCAGAUGUCUGAAUGGGGAAACCCACUUGGAAGAACUCCAAGUAUCUGUACGCCAAUACAUAACGUACAGAGGGGAACCCGGUGAACUGAAACAUCUAAGUAGCCGGAGGAAAAGAAAACAACAGUGAUUGCGAAAGUAGCGGCGAGCGAAAUCGUAAGAGCCCAAACCGUGGUGCGUGCACUGCGGGGUAGAGGACUGCAAUACGAGUAAGAUAUAUUACCUGAACCGUUUUGGAAAAGCGGGCCAAAGAGCGUGAGAGCCGUGUAAGGGAAAAUGUAUUGAAUCCAGCAGUAUCCGGAGUACCACGAGACACGAGAAACCUUGUGGGAAGCAGGGGGGACCACCCCCCAAGGCUAAAUACUAGUCAGUGACCGAUAGCGUAUAGUACUGUGAAGGAAAGGUGAAAAGAACCCCGGGAGGGGAGUGAAAAAGAACCUGAAACCCUAUGUUUACAAACUGUGGAACACCGAAAGGUGAACCGCGUACUUUUUGUAGAACGGUCCGGCGAGUUACAUGUACAGGCGAGGUUAAGUAUUAAAGAUACGGAGCCGAAGGGAAACCAAGUCUUAAUAGGGCGAUAAUAGUCAGUAUGUGUAGACCCGAAACCGGGUGAUCUAUCCAUGUCCAGGUUGAAGUUCGCGUAAAAGUGAAUGGAGGACCGAACACACAUCCGUUGAAAAGGGUGGUGAUGAGGUGUGGAUAGGGGAGAAAUUCCAAUCGAACCCGGAGAUAGCUGGUUCUCCUCGAAAUAGUUUUAGGACUAGCCUCGUUAUUAGUCUACCGGAGGUAGAGCACUGAAUUUUUGCGGGGGCGUCAAAGCCUACCAAGAGAUAUCAAACUCCGAAUGCCGGCUAGAUGAUUGACGGGAGUCAGACUGCACGAGAUAAGUUGGGUAGUCAAAAGGGAAAGAGCCCAGACCUACGGCUAAGGUCCCAAAGUGUGUGUUAAGUGGAAAAGGAUGUGGGAUUUCGAAGACAGCUAGGAUGUUGGCUUAGAAGCAGCCAUACAUUAAAAGAGUGCGUAACAGCUCACUAGUCGAGAGGUCCUGCGCCGAAAAUGUCCGGGGCUAAACACAACACCGAAGCCUGGGAAUGUAGUAAUACAUUGGUAGAGGAGCAUUCUUAGAGGCGUAGAAGCCAUACCGGAAGGAAUGGUGGAGUAAUAAGAAGAGAGAAUGCCGGAAUGAGUAGCGAGAAAGAGGUGAGAAUCCUCUUGGCCGAAUAUCUAAGGUUUCCUGAGUAAAGCUGAUCUACUCAGGGUAAGUCGGGGCCUAAGGCAAGGUCGAAAGACGUAGUCGAUGGAUAACAGGUACAGAUUCCUGUACUACAUAUAAUCAGAACUGUGGGGACACGGAGACUAAAACCGAACCCGGGAGGACAAAAACCGGGGCAAGCGAAGUACCUGUAUGGGAGGAAAACCCACCAUACAAGGGGAAUGCGUGAUGCGUACCGAAAAUUAGUAGGGAAGUCGGUUAGGGAGCCGUCAAGAAAAGCCGCUAUUGUGUUAUAUGUACCCGUACCGCAAACCGACACAGGUAGAUGAGGAGAGAAUCCUAAGGCCGGCGGGAGAAGCAUUGUUAAGGAACUCGGCAAAAUGACCCCGUAACUUCGGGAGAAGGGGUGCCACUGGAAACAGUGGUCGCAGAAAAAAGGCUCAAGCAACUGUUUAGCAAAAACACAGGUCUAUGCGAAACCGCAAGGUGAAGUAUAUGGGCUGACGCCUGCCCGGUGCCGGAAGGUUAAGAGGAGAAGUCAGGAAACGAAGCUUUGAAUUGAAGCCCCGGUAAACGGCGGCCGUAACUAUAACGGUCCUAAGGUAGCGAAAUUCCUUGUCGGGUAAGUUCCGACCCGCACGAAAGGCGUAAUGAUUUG